UACAGUGGGGCCAGAGCUGUAUCUCAGGCCAACCAGAAUAACAGGCCUGCUGUGUCUGAAUAUGGAGGGUUAAGUUUCUCAAUGCAGCCUUUCUCCUCUUUCAGCUUCACCAACAGACUGCUUCGUGAAGAGAUGUGUUUUAAAAUAAUUUAAUAUUGCAUACAGCCCCACUUAUUUCUGCCUCUCAAGAUCUCAUGCCGAACUGGGCACAGAGAGAUUCUCUUUCUUAGCCAGCCUUUGUACUUGUUUCUCAUGUUCCGAAGAGAAAUUAUUGGCUUUUCCCUCAGGGCUGCCACUCAGGAGCAAGGUGCUCUGUGAGCUUCGUCUGAGAGCUAAAGGAUGGAGUUGUUCUUCUGAUUCUUGGUCUUGUUAUUUAAUGAUAAUUACUACUGAGGAAAUGGAGAAAAUUCUUCAAUCUCAGCUUUUAAAGGAGAGGAACCCCCAAGGCCUGAAGUGGCAAGGAGAAGAAGUAACUGGAAGAAGAGAACAGAGGCCCGUGUAGAGAGGGCUGCGUAACAGUGACCGUGAUCUUCAGCUGAGCGAUGACAAGAUGAAAUGAAUGAGUGAAGUCACGUCUUUAAGGAGGGUGAAUUAACACGACACCAUUCCCUAAGUGAGUCCGUUUGGAAUAAAUGUGCAGCUGUGGCUGCGUGUACUCUGAUCCCCGACCUUCCUUCUACAUUGAUUUCCUUCUUCGUCUGUUCAAAUCUCACCUUCUCAGUGAAGCCUACGCUGAGUGCUCCGUUUACAGUCACACCCUCCCCAACACGUUCCCAGUCCUCCUCACCCUUCUGUAUUCCCCCCCAAAAAUGUAUCUCAUUGUAACAUUCUGUAUAAUUAAUUUUUUGUUCUGUUGUUGUUUUCUGUUCUCACUAGAUUGCUCCUCCAGGAAAGGGGCUUCCUACUGUCUAGAACAUAGUGUGUGUUCAAAACUGUUUGUUUGAGGAGGCGAAUUCCAGGAAUAUGGCAGAGUAGGAAGCACCAGGAAUCCAUCUGCCCACCCAGACAACAAUGGCAGUGCAGAAUCUGUCUGAUGUAACUGUUUUGGAACUCUGGAAUCAACUGAAGGCUCGCAACUUCCACAGCGUGGCCUGGACAAUGAGUUGUAGUUCAUUCCAGUCAAUCUUAGCUCUUAGUUUAGCAGCAGCUGCCCAUAGUACACCUCCAGCCCUGUGGUGGGCAACUGUGCAUGUGUUCCUGAAGCAGUUUCCACACAGUUAAAUGGAGUCAUAGUGAGCAGUAAGGACUCUGUCCUCCAAAUAUUGAGGAUCUGUGCUCUGACUGUUGAUGGCUGCUUUUGCUUAGGGAGGUUCACACAUAGAGUUGUGCAGCCAUUCUGGAGCCCACUCGUUGUAAGCCCCUCCUCUUUCAACUGAAGUGACUUCCAGGGGAUUUAAAGGGCUAGUGCCCUGACCUCCUUAUUCAUUUUUUUCUUUUUCCUCUUUUGGAAGAUAGACAUUAAAGACUAGAACAUCCAAAAGCAACUGCAUUUAAAGGGGAACAUAGAAAGUCACUGUGCAUGCCAGGGAAAGGAGCAGGCCAGAAAAGACCUGAGAAGACCUUCAGUUUACACCUCAGGCUGUUGCUCAGCAUGGAGACAGCCUACAUCAAUCAAGAAAACAAAGAUAAAAAAACAAAAACAGAAAACUGCGCGGAAGGGGAAAAACUGAUUUUCAGAGUUGUCACAUUGUUAGAUUCAGAUGUCCAAUUUUCAACAAAAAAUCAGAAGGCAUACAAAAAAACCCAGGAAGGUAGGGCUCAUUAAAAAGAAAAAAGUAAACCAAUAGAAACUGACCCUGAGAAAGAACAGAUGGCAGAUCUAGUAGACAAAGAUUUCAAACUGUCUUAAAGAUGAUCAAAGAACUAAAGGAAGAUGAGAGAAAGUCGAGAAAAUAAUAUGUGAGCAAAAUGGAAAUAUUAAAAAGAGAUAGAAAAACCUAAAAAGAAACCAAAAAUAAAUUAGCUGAAAAUUGCAAUAAUUGAAAUGAAAAGUUUACUAGAGGGAUUCAGAGGCGGAUUUGAGCAGAUAAAAGAAAGAAUCUGCAGAUCUGAAGAUAGGAUUGAAAUUGUUGAGUCUGAGCAACCUCAAGAAAUAUGAUUGAAGAAAAGCAAACGGAGUCCAAGGAACUCAUGGGGCCCAUCAAGUGGACACUUCAUGCAUUGUGGGGAUCCCAGGAAGGGAAGAGAAAAAGAAAAGGGCAGAGAAGUUAUUUGAAGAAAUAAUGGCCAAAACCUCCCCAAAUUUGAUGAACAACAUGAGCAUAAACAUCUAAAAGCUCAACGAAAUCUAAGUACAAUGAACUCAAAGAGAUUCUCACUGAGACAUAUAAUCGAACUGCUGAAAGACAAAGCAGAGAGAAUCUAGAAAGCAACAAGAGAGAAGUGAUUAAUCACAUAUGAGGGAUCCUCAAUGAGAAUGUUAGCAAAUUUCUCAUCAGAAAGUUUAGAGGCCAGAAGGCAGUGGACUGAUAUAUUCAAAGUGCUAAAAGAAAAAAAAUAAAACUGUUAACUCAAGAAUCCUAUAUGUGGCAAAACUUGAUAUAGUUUUGAAAAGUGAGGAGAAAUUAAGAUAUUUUGAGAUAAACAAAAGCUGAGUGAGUUCAUUACCAUUAGACCUGCUCUUUAAGAAAUCCUAAAGGGAGUUCUUUAGGUUGAAGUAAAAGGACACUAGACAGUAAAUCAAAGCCAUAUGAAUAAAUAAUGAUUCCAGUACUCCACUUUUUUUCUACAUGA
Molecule: long non-coding RNA, 2733 nt
Organism: Equus caballus (horse)
Lineage: Eukaryota; Metazoa; Chordata; Mammalia; Perissodactyla; Equidae
Source: RefSeq, a predicted model, not a curated record